RNAcentral lists this ribosomal RNA (330 nucleotides) under uncultured eukaryote. RNAcentral describes it as "partial 18S ribosomal RNA". It matches the Rfam family "Eukaryotic small subunit ribosomal RNA", at positions 1470 to 1796 of the family's 1831-position model. The record is from RNAcentral.
CCCUUAGACGUUCUGGGCCGCACGCGCGCUACACUGACCGGUGCAACAAGCAUCCGUCCUUGGCCGACAGGCCCGGGCAAUCUUUGAACGCCGGUCGUGAUGGGGAUAGACUUUUGCAAUUUUUGGUCUUCAACGAGGAAUGCCUAGUAAGCGCGAAUCAUCAGUUCGCGUUGAUUACGUCCCUGCCCUUUGUACACACCGCCCGUCGCUCCUACCGAUUGAAUGGUCCGGUGAAAAUUUCGGACAGUGACGAUGCUGGCGGUCCGCCGCCGGCGCUGUCGCUGGAAGAUCUUUAAACCUUAUCAUUUAGAGGAAGGAGAAGUCGUAACA